Molecule: ribosomal RNA, 221 nt
Filed under: uncultured bacterium
Lineage: Bacteria
Description: partial 16S ribosomal RNA
Rfam family: Bacterial small subunit ribosomal RNA
Source: RNAcentral
GCCAAUCUCAGUUCGGAUUGUAGGCUGCAACUCGCCUACAUGAAGUUGGAAUCGCUAGUAAUCGCGAAUCAGAAUGUCGCGGUGAAUACGUUCCCGGGUCUUGUACACACCGCCCGUCACACCACGAGAGUUUACAACACCCGAAGUCAGUGGCCUAACCGCAAGGGAGGGAGCUGCCUAAGGUGGGGUAGAUGAUUGGGGUGAAGUCGUAACAAGGUAUC